RNAcentral lists this ribosomal RNA (253 nucleotides) under uncultured bacterium. RNAcentral describes it as "partial 16S ribosomal RNA". It matches the Rfam family "Bacterial small subunit ribosomal RNA", at positions 524 to 776 of the family's 1533-position model. The record is from RNAcentral.
UACGAAGGGGGCUAGCGUUGCUCGGAAUCACUGGGCGUAAAGGGUGCGUAGGCGGGUCUUUAAGUCAGGGGUGAAAUCCUGGAGCUCAACUCCAGAACUGCCUUUGAUACUGAGGAUCUUGAGUAUGGGAGAGGUGAGUGGAACUGCGAGUGUAGAGGUGAAGUUCGUAGAUAUUCGCAAGAACACCAGUGGCGAAGGCGGCUCACUGGCCCAUUACUGACGCUGAGGCACGAAAGCGUGGGGAGCAAACAGG